AAGAGACAGUUCAUAAGGAAGUAGAGAUAAUGCAACACUUAUCAGGGCACCCGGGUGUGGUGACAUUGCAUUCAGUGUAUGAGGAUGCGGAAAGUUUUCAUUUGGUAAUGGAGUUGUGUUCUGGUGGGAGGUUGAUUGACGAGAUGACGAAGGAGGGAAGAUAUUCGGAGCAGAAGUCUGCUAAUAUAUUUAAGGAUUUGAUGUUGGUGAUUCAAUAUUGCCAUGAUAUGGGAGUUGUACAUAGGGAUAUUAAGCCUG
RNAcentral lists this unclassified non-coding RNA (258 nucleotides) under Hevea brasiliensis (rubber tree). The record is from RNAcentral. Lineage: Eukaryota; Viridiplantae; Streptophyta; Magnoliopsida; Malpighiales; Euphorbiaceae.